CACUUAGCCACUGUUUUUCUUUUCAUUGCAGAGAAAGAGGCUGAAAUUUAGGAAUAACAUGGACUCUCAAAACCAGCCCCUGAAUUGUGGUUCUCUAUCCUGUAUCUUGAUGCCACUGAUAACUUGCAUCCUAGCCGGACUGCAGGAAAACCUCCCAUUAGCCAAGCAGAGGUCAGUCGGUUGCAUAACUAUUCUCGCCCUUGCAUGUAAAAUGCAGAUAUGUGUGCUUUAGCGCUUGCUCUGCCAGCUGUGCCAGUUCUCCUGAGGACACAGCCAUUCUUCCCAACAAUUCUUUCUGUGGUUGUCUCCCAACACCCACUCCCUUUGGGCGCAUGCUCCAGCUAACUAACAAACACAUAACUGCCUCUGUGCUUCGUAGCACAGACUAGGAAGUCAGGAAGAGAUGAGAGGGAGAAGCCCUGGUCGAGAUGAAAUCGGUCGACAUACUGAAGAAAUAAGCCUGUUUGGGUCUGCGGGUGGGUGGGUGUAUAUUUGAACGCAGCCAAAGUGAAUACAGCAAGCUUCCACGCAUUCAAAAGUUUCUAAGGACCGAGAGCAAGAAUCAACAACAAUAAAACCUUCAACUAGUAAUAAUCAAGGAAGCAAUCCGGAGUCUGUGCUUCCUAAUAUGUCUUCCUGCCCCAAUUAGAUGCAGAUGGUUUUGUGGGACGUUGUCAUCAUAUAUAUUACAGACUCAGGUGGGUGGGUGGGUAUGGAACUUAUUUUGCAAGCCUGGGCAGGACCAAGGCUUGAAAACAAUAUUUUAAGAGAUUUGUCAAUGUCUGCAUGGAAGUAGACAAUCUUGAGCCCCAGCUUCAUUUCUGUGCUUUUUUGUUUUGCUUUUACAUCCUGAUCCAUUGGGCUAUAAUUAUUAGUUGACACUGAAGACAUUAGUCAACGUAUAUUUAUAGUUGAGCAUGCACAGAUUCCAAGUGAACAGGAUGCUUUGCAGAACAGGUUAGCCUCAGUAGCCUGGACAGACAGUCCUGACGUGGCCUGGCUAUGCUAUUUGCAGUUAACCAAAACAAGUGAGUUAAGGGGCAGGGCACUAACCUUCUGCAGAUAGGAGUAUUUCCAUUUUAGGCAGUAGCGUGCAGUUGUAAGCAUUGUGCUUGUGAGCAAAGGUUGCAAAAUAGUUGCUCCUCCGCAAAAUGGGCAAGGUAAAUGCACCCUGAUUAAAAACUAUUACAGACAGUGUUGUCAAAUUGUGUGUGUGUGUGCAUUUAGGGACUCCACUACUAUAAACCUAGAAAAUUUACUUUCAUAAUGAUGUACAGGCAUGAUGGCAGAGAUCAUCUUCAGAGGCAUGUUUAGGUCAUACCCUUACAUUCUCUGCAAGGGCAGCACCUGAUUCUUCUCCAUCGCUAGAAUCACGUCUCCCCUCUGAUUCGUGCGUUUCAUGUGCACGGUUUAAAAGCACCAGAAAAUGACUUCUCUCAGAAAGGAGCAGCUUAAACCAUGGGGGAUGGGAGAACGGAUGAUUGAGGAUGAAUAUCUCCAGCUGUAAGAAAAUCGAACACCUACCAAUCCCCCGUUGCAAACAGAGUCCCUCGGGUAGGACUAGAAGCAGUACUCUUCCCGCAUUUUACUUCAGCAAUCAUCUCCCUGGACAGAUUGCAUUUCUCCUCCUAAAAGGAGGAAGCUUGCUGUCUGAAGUUUUUUUUUUUUUUUUUGCCCUCUGCAGUUCCACACCCCCAUCUGUUUCCUGUGGCUUCUUGCUGCAAAUACAGAUCUUCCUUUUUUAUUCUGUUUCCCCAUUUGAUUCAUCUGAAAAUGGGAGGGUUCUCUGAAAUCCAGUUGUCUGUAAUCUCUGGAAUAUAUGAGUUUGUGAAUGAUGGCAGUGGCUGGAAACAUCUGGGGUGGGGGUGUUGCAAGAUAGCAAAUUGUCAUAAGAAUAUGGGGGGCUGCUUUAUUUAUCCAUGUGUACUCUGAUAGGCCCUGGAAAAGACCCUGAUGUUGGGAAAGAUGGAGGGCACAAGGAGAAGGGGACGACAGAGGACGAGAUGGUUGGACGGUGUUCUCGAAGCUACCAGAAUGAGUUUGACCAAACUGCGGGAGGCAGUGGAAGACAGGAGUGCCUGGCGUGCUCUGGUCCAUGGGGUCACGAAGAGUUGGACACGACUAAACGACUAAACAACAAUAACUCUGAUAGGUCAUGUCUCUUUCCACCUUCUCAGGCAGAGAGGUACAGUGGUACCUCAGGUUACAUACGCUUCAAGUUACAUACACUUCAGGUUACAGACUCUGCUAACCCAGAAAUAUUACCUCGGGUUAAGAACUUUGCUUCAGGAUGAGAACAGAAAUCGUGCUCCGGCGGUGCGGCUGCAGCAGGAGGCCCCAUUAGCUAAAGUGGUACCUCAGGUUAAGAACAGUUUCAAGUUAAGAACGGACCUCCGGAACGAAUUAAGUACUUAACCCAAGGUACCACUGUAUUUCCACUUAAUGUCUGUCACAGGGAUGUCCAACUUCCAAAGCUUUUGAACUUUUUGGGGGGAGUCAGAACCAAAGUAGUUGAGCUUUUUUGUGUUUUCCGGCAAUCGAACAUGCUUUUGGCUGGGAUCGACCAGGAACGCAACGCGAUCGACCGGUAGAUCGCGAUAGACUGGUUGAAUAUCUAUCAGGUCCUUUUAGGUAAAACAUGGGGAAAAUCUGUGUCCUUCCAGAUGUUCUUAGACUUCAACUUUCACCAGUGCACUGGUAAGGAAGGAUGGGAGUUGUAGUCCAACAACAUCUGGAUGGCCACAAGCUGCUCAUCCCUGUUUUAGCUAGAGAGGCCAAUGAUUAAACCUACACCACACAAAGCAUGUGUUAAGAGUCCUACCCUGAGGCAUGAAUAAUUCCCGUGGAGCAAGAAUGGUAGGUAUACCUCUGCUCCCCCUUGGCAAUGGGAAACUCCUUUCUCUUAGGCAGCCAUGCUUACCUUUUCUUACUUAUCCAUCACGAUGAGGCAAAGGCUCCUACCUAGACUGUACAGUUCCUCGCCUUUGGGCAAGGCAGGUGCAAGGAAUCAUCUGGCAAGAAAUCAAAGUGGCAGCUUCAAUUUUCUUUUCCCUGGUGAGGCAAACAAUAGGCUAAAAGAAGGACCAUGGGGAUUUCUGCAUGUCCCUCUCUGUCAACACAGAGCAAUUUACCCGCGUUCAUCAUCAUAAACACUCGCUGUAAAUUGUUCAGCCGGAUCUGUGAUGCAGCAAAAAGGUGG
This 3199-nucleotide long non-coding RNA is filed under the name Podarcis lilfordi (Lilford's wall lizard). Lineage: Eukaryota; Metazoa; Chordata; Lepidosauria; Squamata; Lacertidae. The record is from RNAcentral.